GAUGAACGCUGGCGGCGUGCCUAAUACAUGCAAGUCGAGCGAACAGAUCAGGAGCUUGCUCCCCUGACUUUAUCGCCGGACGGGUGCGUAACACGUGGAUAACCUACCUAUAAGACUGGGAUAACUUCGGGAAACCGGAGCUAAUACCGGAUAAUUUAUUGAACCGCAUGGUUCAAUAGUUAAAGACGGUUUUGCUGUCACUUAUAGAUGGAUCCGCGCCGCAUUAGAUAGUUGGUAAGGUAACGGCUUACCAAGGCAACGAUGCGUAGCCGACCUGAGAGGGUGAUCGGACACACUGGAACUGAGACAGGUCCCAGACUCCGAGGGGAGGCAGCGGUAGGGAAUCUUCCGCGAUGGGCGAAAGGCUGACGGAGCAACGCCGCGUGAGUGAUGAAGGUCUUCGGAUCGUAAAACUCUGUUAUUAGGGAGGAAGAAAUGUGUAAGUAACUAUGCACGUAUUGACGGUACCUAAUCAGAAAGCCACGGCUAACUCCGUG
RNAcentral lists this ribosomal RNA (497 nucleotides) under uncultured bacterium. RNAcentral describes it as "partial 16S ribosomal RNA". It matches the Rfam family "Bacterial small subunit ribosomal RNA", at positions 28 to 507 of the family's 1533-position model. The record is from RNAcentral.